This 405-nucleotide ribosomal RNA is filed under the name Trimeresurus popeiorum (Pope's bamboo pit viper). Its description in RNAcentral is "partial 12S small subunit ribosomal RNA". Lineage: Eukaryota; Metazoa; Chordata; Lepidosauria; Squamata; Viperidae. The record is from RNAcentral.
AGCCAUAACACACAAUCAAACUACAAAUUGUUCGCCGAACAACUACGAGUAAUACUUAAAACUUAAAAGACUUGACGGUACUUCAUCCCGACCUAGAGGAGCCUGUCUAAUAACCGACAAUCCACGAUUAACCCAACCCCUUCUUGCCCCACAGUCUAUAUACCGCCGUCGUCAGCUUACCUUGUAAAAGAAAUAAAGUGAGCUAAACAGUACCACACUAAAACGACAGGUCGAGGUGUAACUUAUGAAGAGGGCUAAGAUGGGCUACAUUCUCCAACCAAGAAUACGAACAACACUAUGAAAUUAAUGUUUAAAGGCGGAUUUAGCAGUAAGAUAAGAAUAAAAUACCUAACUGAACAUAACGCAAUGAAGUGCGCACACACCGCCCGUCACCCCUGUCACCAC